AAACUAACUAGGAUGCCUUCAGUAACGGCGAGCGAAGCAGGCAUAGCUCAAAUUUGUAAUCUGGCGCCUUUGGCGUCCGAGUUGUAUUUUCUAGAAGCGAGUUCGGCGACAGCUCCUACCCAAGUCCGUUGGAACGCGGCGUCAUGGAGGGUGAGAAUCCCGUGAAUGGUAGGAUGUCUGCUGCUAUGUGAACCGCCUUCGAAGAGUCGAGUUGUUUGGGAAUGCAGCUCUAAAUGGGAGGUAAAUUUCUUCUAAAGCUAAAUAUUGGCCAGAGACCGAUAGCGAACAAGUAGAGUGAUCGAAAGAUGAAAAGAACUUUGAAAAGAGAGUUAAACAGUACGUGAAAUUGUUGAAAGGGAAGCGCUUGAGAUCAGACUUCCUGUCUGGACUGUCCUUGCUUUUGCUUGGGUCAACAGUCCAGGCGUGGAGGCCAGCAUCAGUUUUGACGGCCGGAUAAAGGCCUUGGGAAGGUAGCUCCUCUCGGGGAGUGUUAUAGCCCAGGGUGUAAUACGGCCAGUUGGGACUGAGGACCGCGGCUCUGCCUAGGAUGCUGGCGUAAUGGUCUUAAGCGAC
This 573-nucleotide ribosomal RNA is filed under the name Taphrina nana. RNAcentral's name for it is "eukaryotic LSU rRNA". It matches the Rfam family "Eukaryotic large subunit ribosomal RNA", at positions 62 to 648 of the family's 3401-position model. Lineage: Eukaryota; Fungi; Ascomycota; Taphrinomycetes; Taphrinales; Taphrinaceae. The record is from RNAcentral. RNAcentral also lists the same sequence under 1 other name.